Molecule: ribosomal RNA, 261 nt
Filed under: uncultured bacterium
Lineage: Bacteria
Description: partial 16S ribosomal RNA
Rfam family: Bacterial small subunit ribosomal RNA
Source: RNAcentral
GUCCACACUGUAAACGAUGAUUACUAGGUGUUGGAGGAUUGACCCCUUCAGUGCCGCAGUUAACACAAUAAGUAAUCCACCUGGGGAGUACGACCGCAAGGUUGAAACUCAAAGGAAUUGACGGGGGCCCGCACAAGCAGUGGAGUAUGUGGUUUAAUUCGACGCAACGCGAAGAACCUUACCAAGUCUUGACAUCCUGCGACGGACAUAGAAAUAUGUUUUUCCUUCGGGACGCAGAGACAGGUGGUGCAUGGUUGUCGU